GAUGAACGCUGGCGGCGUGCCUAAUACAUGCAAGUCGAGCGAACAGACGAGGAGCUUGCUCCUCUGACGUUAGCGGCGGACGGGUGAGUAACACGUGGAUAACCUACCUAUAAGACUGGGAUAACUUCGGGAAACCGGAGCUAAUACCGGAUAAUAUAUUGAACCGCAUGGUUCAAUAGUGAAAGACGGUUUUGCUGUCACUUAUGGGUGGAUCCGCGCCGCAUUAGCUAGUUGGUAAGGUAACGGCUUACCAAGGCAACGAUGCGUAGCCGACCUGAGAGGGUGAUCGGCCACACUGGAACUGAGACACGGUCCAGACUCCUACGGGAGGCAGCAGUAGGGAAUCUUCCGCAAUGGGCGAAAGCCUGACGGAGCAACGCCGCGUGAGUGAUGAAGGUCUUCGGAUCGUAAAACUCUGUUAUUAGGGAAGAACAAAUGUGUAAGUAACUAUGCACGUCUUGACGGUACCUAAUCAGAAAGCCACGGCUAACUACGUG
RNAcentral lists this ribosomal RNA (497 nucleotides) under uncultured bacterium. Its description in RNAcentral is "partial 16S ribosomal RNA". It matches the Rfam family "Bacterial small subunit ribosomal RNA", at positions 28 to 507 of the family's 1533-position model. The record is from RNAcentral.